ACCUACGGGACGCAGCAGUGGGGAAUAUUGGACAAUGGACCGAGAGUCUGAUCCAGCAAUUCUGUGUGCACGAUGAAGUUUUUCGGAAUGUAAAGUGCUUUCAGUUGGGAAGAAACAAAUGACGGUACCAACAGAAGAAGUGACGGCUAAAUACGUGCCAGCAGCCGCGGUAAUACGUAUGUCACGAGCGUUAUCCGGAUUUAUUGGGCGUAAAGCGCGUCUAGGUGGUUAUGUAAGUCUGAUGUGAAAAUGCAGGGCUCAACUCUGUAUUGCGUUGGAAACUGUAUAACUAGAGUACUGGAGAG
This 305-nucleotide ribosomal RNA is filed under the name uncultured bacterium. Its description in RNAcentral is "bacterial SSU rRNA". It matches the Rfam family "Bacterial small subunit ribosomal RNA", at positions 337 to 656 of the family's 1533-position model. The record is from RNAcentral.